UCUCCGCAUCAAUGGGGUCUUGGACUCUGACUGUCACAGGAGGCUCUGUCAGGAGAAAGAUGCUAGUUUGAAUAAAAAUAAAAAAAAAAAAAGAAAGAAAGAAAGAAAAGAAAAGAAAAAGAAAAAAAGAAAGAAGGAAAGAAGGAAAGAAAAACAGCAGGUUUCUAUUUCAAACUCCCAGGAUCGGAAUCCAGCGUUCGAAGUAUUCAGACAGGUGAAAAAAAAAAUAAUAAUGUUCAGCGCGAGGCGUCCGGGCUCCGUCAAAAAGAGCACCCCCACCCCUUUCCAAACGCAUCAGCCCCUCCCCAGACCCCAGCCAGGCAAGAAGCGCAGCCCACCGAUGCGGUACCGAGUGUGGCCGCGCAGGGAUGCAGCCGCCGAGAGGAGACGCGCGCCUUACCUGCUGCUUCUCUUCUGCCUCCCUCCCCCCACCGCACCCGGGAGUCCCUCCUCCCUGGCUAGCCUGUCCCUGCCUCCGCUCCGCUAGAUCCCAGCAGCCUCCAUCAGCCUCCAACUAAGAGUCUUGGAGAAACAAGGAAACUAGUUGGUUUCCUUGGAAGCUGCACCGCUUUGCUGCCUUGUUGGGCCUGCGUUUUGAUUUCCUUUAAAGUGGACGGUGCCCGCCACUGCACCCCACGCCCCCACCCCAGGGAAGGUGACAAGAAAGAGCAAAGGCAACUUCUAUCAAAGGCAAGCUCUGAGCCCCGCCAGCAUCCAGGCAAGCUGCAAGCUGGACCAUUAACGCUACUGCCCCGCUGGGGCCCGGAGCGGAAGGGAGAAUUCGGAGGCGGAUUGUUUGCCCGACUGGUCGGCAAAUAAACAUAGGAAAGGGAUUCCCCUUUGUAAGAGUGGAGCGCUCAGAUGGGUCGCCAAGGAGCGGGGUGAGGGCGGUGGGGAGGGGGUCUGCGCACCCCGGGCAGCUGAGGCAGGAGGCCCCGAGCGAGCGCUGGGGCACAGCUUUCCCUCUGGCCUCGCCUUGGCUGGGCAGGCAGCCGAGCCCGGCCACUCAAUGGGAGAAUCCACCCGGGCUGGCUGGAAAUCCAGCCUGUUGGACUCACAUGCCAGCUCCGCGGGUGACUGCGAGGGGGCUUCUCCCAGCCUACAAUUCCCUCUCUUCUCCAAUUAUAAAUGCACAGGGUGGGGAAGCUGUGGUCUGAUAAGACAUUCACUCCGUGGGCUGCAGCAAGCAAAUUACAAUGGUUUAUUUGUUUUACUUUGCUUUUCAAUCCUUGCCUGGCCAGUCCUCCUUGGCCGAAUUAACAUUCUGCUCUUGCAGACGGACUCCCCCUUCCCAUUUAUUUUAUGAAGUACUAAUUAUUCAUUAGUAGGUUUCAUUAGUCUUUACCAAUAAAACAUGAUGUGAUCUACAAAUCAAAAGAAAAUAUUAGGACUCUAACUCAUCCUUGGUCCCUAUAGUGGGGGAAGAGAAGAAAAAAACAGUAAAAUCGUGAUCAGGAAUAGUAGCCAUAUUUUGAAAAUCUAGAUUUGGAAUAUGAUUGCAUUUUCUUUCCUGUUGUUUGGUUUGGUUUUCAAAGCAAGGGGUAAACUGUCUGAACAGUAUCUUUGGAGGUUGUUGAGUUGCAUGAAAGAAAUCUUGCUGAAGAAUUUGUGUUGCCAUGUGGGACAGGGCCACCCAUGAGAGUUAGGGAUGUCUCAGGAUAGAACAUCCAUGACAGGACCCUAGUGCUGGCCACAACAGCCACCCUCACUGAGUCCUCUCUGAGUCCAUCAGACACUCUGGAAGAAUGACUCCUUCAGACCUGAGCUAUUGGCUUGCAAAACACUAUUCACUUUGCAGGCUAAUCAAAAUGCUUCCUGAAGAAAGGGAAAUUAAUUAUUGUAUAGUUUUAUUUUAUGUUACUAUGUUUUGAAAUGCCAUCAAUAAAGUCCUCUUUUGCCAAA
Cavia porcellus (domestic guinea pig) is the source of this 1902-nucleotide long non-coding RNA. RefSeq lists it as uncharacterized. The record is from RefSeq and is a predicted model, not a curated record. The transcript is spliced from 3 exons. NCBI's taxonomy places the organism in Eukaryota, Metazoa, Chordata, Mammalia, Rodentia, Caviidae.